CAUACGACCUACGGGUGAAAGAGGGGGACCUUCGGGCCUCUCGCGAUUGGAUGAGCCUAUGCCGGAUUAGCUAGUUGGCGGGGUAAGAGCCCACCAAGGCGACGAUCCGUAGCUGGUCUGAGAGGAUGAUCAGCCACACUGGAACUGAGACACGGUCCAGACUCCUACGGGAGGCAGCAGUGGGGAAUAUUGGACAAUGGGCGCAAGCCUGAUCCAGCAAUGCCGCGUGUGUGAAGAAGGCCUUCGGGUUGUAAAGCACUUUUGUUUGGGAAGAAAUCCGGUUGGUUAAUACCUGAUCGGGAUGACGGUACCAAAAGAAUAAGCACCGGCUAACUUCGUGCCAGCAGCCGCGGUAAUACGAAGGGUGCAAGCGUUAAUCGGAAUUACUGGGCGUAAAGCGUGCGUAGGUGGUUUGUUAAGUCAGAUGUGAAAGCCCUGGGCUCAACCUGGGAACUGCAUU
This 460-nucleotide ribosomal RNA is filed under the name uncultured bacterium. RNAcentral's name for it is "bacterial SSU rRNA". It matches the Rfam family "Bacterial small subunit ribosomal RNA", at positions 172 to 627 of the family's 1533-position model. The record is from RNAcentral.